Oreochromis niloticus (Nile tilapia) is the source of this 1004-nucleotide long non-coding RNA. RefSeq lists it as uncharacterized. The transcript has 3 exons. Lineage: Eukaryota; Metazoa; Chordata; Actinopteri; Cichliformes; Cichlidae. The record is from RefSeq and is a predicted model, not a curated record.
UUUGUUUUUGUCAGUAUUAAAAAGAGAAUUUUUAUUAUAAACAUUAUUUUGUUGUUUUUUUUAUUCAUGAAACUGAAAUAUAGCAGAUAGUUCAUGGUACAGUUUUGUGUUUCAUCAACAAGUGUGGCCACAUUUUCACAAUGUCUCAUUUCUAAUGUUUAGAAACCCAAAACCCAGUAUGAUAAAAAAUACAGAAAUUGAAGAAAAUGUGUAUGAGAACAUGUCAGAGACAAGGAAAUAGGAACUCUGUCAUCAUAUUUUUAGUUAUUCCUGUUUUCAUCCAUCAACGACUGACCACUUAUAGCAUACCAAUAAUAAAUUCAGCCACUGUUUUCUACAGUCAUCAUUCUACUGUUUAUUUUUUCUACAAAACAUUUCUGAACUCUUUAUCUGCUGCAGGAGUAGAAAAGUGAUAAUUUUUACUGGUUAGAUAAUGGAGACAUAUCAAGAUGUCCUCGAAAUUAUUAGUAUUAUAUCAGUAAGAAUAUAUUUCUCUGUCAUGUGUUUUGGAUUUUUUAGCUGCUGUAUUUUUAAAGCUCUGUUUAGCAUGUACUUCAGCCUUUUAUUGUUUACUUUAAUUGUGAUUUAAAAAGCAUUAGUGCAACCAGACACAGCUGUGCCUUUGGAUUUUGCAUCAGUGCAUCACCUAUAAAUGUAAUUAAGUGAGUGUGCAAAUGAAUCUGAACCUAAAUGUUAUAGAAAGCUUGACAUUAAACAUGCUGCCUUCAUGUGAUGCAUCUGUUGUUAUGCAGGCACGAUUAUGACUGAAGACAAAAGCUGUGUAGAACAUAGACUGUUUUAUGACUACUGCUUUUAUAAAACCCUCGUCUCCUCAGUUGCCAGAUGUUUACAGGUUGCAUUUAAAAGAAGAUGCUACACAGAGCUCAACGUGGCCUUGUCCCAUGUUUUUUCAUGCACUGCUGCCAUCAAAAAAUGUAAAAUGUCUUAGUUUGAACAUUUAAUGUUUUCUAUAUGCUGUUGUAAAUAAAAUAUGGCUUUAUGAG